GAUGAACGCUGGCGGCGUGCCUAAUACAUGCAAGUCGAGCGAACAGAUGAGGAGCUUGCUCCUCUGACGUUAGCGGCGGACGGGUGAGUAACACGUGGAUAACCUACCUAUAAGACUGGGAUAACUUCGGGAAACCGGAGCUAAUACCGGAUAAUAUAUUGAACCGCAUGGUUCAAUAGUGAAAGACGGUUUUGCUGUCACUUAUAGAUGGAUCCGCGCCGCAUUAGCUAGUUGGUAAGGUAACGGUUUACCAAGGCGACGAUGCGUAGCCGACCUGAGAGGGUGAUCGGCCACACUGGAACUGAGACACGGUCCAGACUCCUACGGGAGGCAGCAGUAGGGAAUCUUCCGCAAUGGGCGAAAGCCUGACGGAGCAACGCCGCGUGAGUGAUGAAGGUCUUCGGAUCGUAAAACUCUGUUAUUAGGGAAGAACAAAUGUGUAAGUAACUAUGCACGUCUUGACGGUACCUAAUCAGAAAGCCACGGCUAACUACGUG
RNAcentral lists this ribosomal RNA (497 nucleotides) under uncultured bacterium. RNAcentral's name for it is "partial 16S ribosomal RNA". It matches the Rfam family "Bacterial small subunit ribosomal RNA", at positions 28 to 507 of the family's 1533-position model. The record is from RNAcentral.